ACAUGCAAGUCGAGCGGAGUUUAUCGGGAGCUUGCUCCUGAUAAACUUAGCGGCGGACGGGUGAGUAACACGUAGGCAACCUGCCCGUAAGACUGGGAUAACUACCGGAAACGGUAGCUAAUACCGGAUACGCAAGUCUCUCGCAUGAGGGGCUUGGGAAAGGCGGAGCAAUCUGUCACUUACGGAUGGGCCUGCGGCGCAUUAGCUAGUUGGUGGGGUAACGGCUCACCAAGGCGACGAUGCGUAGCCGACCUGAGAGGGUGAACGGCCACACUGGGACUGAGACACGGCCCAGACUCCUACGGGAGGCAGCAGUAGGGAAUCUUCCGCAAUGGACGAAAGUCUGACGGAGCAACGCCGCGUGAGUGAUGAAGGUUUUCGGAUCGUAAAGCUCUGUUGCCAGGGAAGAACGUCCGUUAGAGUAACUGCUAACGGAGUGACGGUACCUGAGAAGAAAGCCCCGGCUAACUACGUGCCAGCAGCCGCGGUAAUACGUAGGGGGCGAGCGUGUCCGGAAUUAUUGGGCGUAAAGCGCGCGCAGGCGGCUGUUUAAGUCUGGUGUUUA
RNAcentral lists this ribosomal RNA (565 nucleotides) under uncultured bacterium. Its description in RNAcentral is "bacterial SSU rRNA". It matches the Rfam family "Bacterial small subunit ribosomal RNA", at positions 53 to 598 of the family's 1533-position model. The record is from RNAcentral.